AGUUAUCAAUUUACUAACAAAUUAUGAAUUAUGAAUUUUACUAAAGUUUUAGGAAUAAUUUUUCUUAGUGUAAUUUUUAUAACAAAUAAUGUCGAAGGUGUUGAUGAGGUUAUAAAAGUAUCUUGCCAAAAAAAAUGUAGAAUAUGGUGUGUCUUUGAUUUUUGCUAUCAAAGUUGUUUGAAGAAUUAUUGUCAUGAACAUCCUCAAAUUUCUUCUAAAGUCAAUAAUUGUCGCGUCAGUUGUUCAACUCAUCGUUGUUUCAAAUUUAAAAAAGAUGAAAAGCUAAUGGAAAAUUGCUUGGAUGAAUGUUCAACAAAAUAUUGUAUCGAAGAUUAACAAAGUUAUAAUAUAUGCUACUUGUUUUUAUAAAAACAAAGUUAUGCAAGGAAAAUAAAAAAUAAAAAGCCAUCUUGAUGACUACAAAUGUAAAUUAAUGCUUCUAAUGAAAUAAAUAAUUUGACAACUCAAUGUUUUAUAUAA
Long non-coding RNA from Solanum lycopersicum (tomato), 480 nucleotides. RefSeq lists it as uncharacterized. The record is from RefSeq and is a predicted model, not a curated record. NCBI's taxonomy places the organism in Eukaryota, Viridiplantae, Streptophyta, Magnoliopsida, Solanales, Solanaceae.